RNAcentral lists this ribosomal RNA (492 nucleotides) under uncultured bacterium. RNAcentral's name for it is "partial 16S ribosomal RNA". It matches the Rfam family "Bacterial small subunit ribosomal RNA", at positions 29 to 507 of the family's 1533-position model. The record is from RNAcentral.
AUUGAACGCUGGCGGCAUGCUUUACACAUGCAAGUCGAACGGUAACAGGCCUUCGGGUGCUGACGAGUGGCGAACGGGUGAGUAAUGCAUCGGAACGUACCCAGAGGUGGGGGAUAACGCAGCGAAAGCUGUGCUAAUACCGCAUGUGAUCUGAGGAUGAAAGCGGGGGACCGAGCAGCAAUGUUUGGCCUCGCGCCUUUGGAGCGGCCGAUGUCGGAUUAGCUAGUUGGUGGGGUAAAGGCCUACCAAGGCGACGAUCCGUAGCUGGUCUGAGAGGACGACCGGCCACACUGGAACUGAGACACGGCCCAGACUCCUACGGGAGGCAGCAGUGGGGAAUUUUGGGCAAUGGGCGCAAGCCUGAUCCAGCAAUGCCGCGUGCGGGAAGAAGGCCUUCGGGUUGUAAACCGCUUUUGGCAGGAACGAAACGGUGUCCGCUAAUACCGGGCGCUAAUGACGGUACCUGCAGAAUAAGCACCGGCUAACUACGUG